GGAAGGGUAAGCCUAACGGUAAGGCAGUAGUUUGCUAAACUAUCAGUAAUCAAUAUUUUAUAUUGGUGUGUGGGUUCAAGUCCCGCUCCUUCCGCCA
This 97-nucleotide transfer RNA is filed under the name Clostridium botulinum. Its description in RNAcentral is "tRNA-Ser". It matches the Rfam family "tRNA". From Rfam's summary of the family: Transfer RNA (tRNA) molecules are approximately 80 nucleotides in length. The record is from RNAcentral. Lineage: Bacteria; Bacillati; Bacillota; Clostridia; Eubacteriales; Clostridiaceae. RNAcentral also lists the same sequence under 1 other name.